Drosophila sechellia is the source of this 532-nucleotide long non-coding RNA. RefSeq lists it as uncharacterized. The record is from RefSeq and is a predicted model, not a curated record. The transcript has 4 exons. NCBI's taxonomy places the organism in Eukaryota, Metazoa, Arthropoda, Insecta, Diptera, Drosophilidae.
GUUAUCGUCUGCUACUUUGUUUGUCCGGUUAGGAGAGAAUUCGUCGAUGAUGCAGGACAGGGGAGAAAUAUACAAUUUGAGGACAAGUUUUGCAGCGUAAGGGUGUGGCAUCUGCGCCACGCAAAUGAUCUUUAUUAAAGCAUUGGCGUCAGGAGGUGGAGACGGUAUCAUAAAAUUGUCAGAUUUUUGUAUCUAUAAUCGCAAAUGUUGGCGAUUUUGUUUUGCUUUGACGGGGCCCGUCUCCUGGUUUGCGUGCGCGUCAUCGGCAGGAUGAGGUCGUAUUUUUGUGUCUGCUGGUUUGCCUGUCAGAUUCUCAGGAAUUCAUUGGAAAAAAAAAACGGAAUUGUGGAAAUUAUACAAUUUGGAGACGGAUUUUAAUUCUUUUUAAUUUGAUGUCAGCUCCGGGAUAAUGAUCCUUGUUAGUGCAGUGGCAUCAGGAGGUGGAGACGGCGUUGGCUCGUCUUCUCUUGUUGGUUGCUUUGGAUCACCAGUUGGCUGUGUUUAUUGAGGUAAGUGCUUUAUUUGAUUGUCU